This 274-nucleotide ribosomal RNA is filed under the name uncultured bacterium. RNAcentral describes it as "partial 16S ribosomal RNA". It matches the Rfam family "Bacterial small subunit ribosomal RNA", at positions 523 to 796 of the family's 1533-position model. The record is from RNAcentral.
CUACGGAGGGUGCGAGCGUUAAUCGGAAUUACUGGGCGUAAAGCGUACGUAGGCGGUUGGUUAAGUUAGAUGUGAAAGCCCCGGGCUUAACCUGGGAACUGCAUUUAAAACUGGCGAACUAGAGUUGAGUAGAGGGGAGUGGAAUUUCAGGUGUAGCGGUGAAAUGCGUAGAGAUCUGAAGGAACACCAGUGGCAAAGGCGACUCCCUGGACUCGAACUGACGCUGAGGUACGAAAGCGUGGGUAGCAAACGGGAUUAGAAACCCGAGUAGUCC